RNAcentral lists this ribosomal RNA (490 nucleotides) under uncultured bacterium. RNAcentral describes it as "partial 16S ribosomal RNA". It matches the Rfam family "Bacterial small subunit ribosomal RNA", at positions 30 to 507 of the family's 1533-position model. The record is from RNAcentral.
AUUGAACGCUGGCGGCAGGCCUAACACAUGCAAGUCGAACGGUAACAGGAAGCAGCUUGCUGCUUCGCUGACGAGUGGCGGACGGGUGAGUAAUGUCUGGGAAACUGCCUGAUGGAGGGGGAUAACUACUGGAAACGGUAACUAAUACCGCAUAACGUCGCAAGACCAAAGAGGGGGACCUUAGGGCCUCUUGCCAUCGGAUGUGCCCAGAUGGGAUUAGCUAGUAGGUGGGGUAACGGCUCACCUAGGCGACGAUCCCUAGCUGGUCUGAGAGGAUGACAGGCCACACUGGAACGGAGACACGGUCCAGACGCCUACGGGAGGCAGCAGUGGGGAAUAUUGCACAAUGGGCGCAAGCCUGAUGCAGCCAUGCCGCGUGUAUGAAGAAGGCCUUCGGGUUGUAAAGUACUUUCAGCGGGGAGGAAGGGAGUAAAGUUAAUACCUUUGCUCAUUGACGGUACCCGCAGAAGAAGCACCGGCUAACUCCGUG